AAGACAGUCCACAAUCCUGACACCCGGGGACCUAUGAUGACCUAACACAACCCAUGGAGGAGGACAUCACCUGAUGCACAAUCUCCUUAUCUAAAGUUGCUCACUUUCUCAGACUUUGAUCCAGCUUGGUGGAGCUCAUUAGAUGAGAACAUGGCUUCUCUACCGACUGGAGGUGACAAUGACGAUAAACAGUAUCUUAUUAUUCCUGUCCAGAAUCCAGAGCCUUUAGUUUUCAGGACAUACUGUAUGUCUCAGAAGAUGUUGGAGUGGCCACACAAAAACCCAAGAGAAAAAUAUGCUAAAAUUCAGAAAUACUCAAUACAAAUGAAUAAGCAUGCAUUGUACUUCUGAGAAAUUGCAAAGUGUGUCAUCUGAUUUUCUGGUCUUCUCAAUGGCCACUUUUCAAAGUGCUUAAUGUACAACAAUAAAUAUACAA
Molecule: long non-coding RNA, 436 nt
Organism: Onychostoma macrolepis
Lineage: Eukaryota; Metazoa; Chordata; Actinopteri; Cypriniformes; Cyprinidae
Exons: 3
Source: RefSeq, a predicted model, not a curated record